Mustela erminea (ermine) is the source of this 671-nucleotide long non-coding RNA. RefSeq lists it as uncharacterized. NCBI's taxonomy places the organism in Eukaryota, Metazoa, Chordata, Mammalia, Carnivora, Mustelidae. The record is from RefSeq and is a predicted model, not a curated record. The transcript is spliced from 3 exons.
CUCAGUAUUUCCAUUAAGCUCUCAGUCUCAGAAAAACCUUGCCUUACCCAUCUCACCCUUGUCUUUCAUCAUUGAAUAGCAUCAUCCCAAACAACUCUCUGUGAGACCAAAGAAAAGGGGAAUGGAUUCGAGCAGCAGGAAAGCUGGAUCAGUACCCCGUAAAAGUCUUCCACAAGAUCACCAGUGAACCGCUCACGCUGGGCGUCCUGUCCUCACCACUUCUUUGCUAAAGCAAUUACACGUCGGGGUUGUCAUCUCUUUUCUGCAUGAGGGAGUUGAGACACAGAGGAUCAGCGACUUACCAGCGUCCGUACCACUAGGGAUUUAAAUUCAAACCCAGCUCUUCAGACUUCAGACUCAGUGUUCUCCCAGCAAAGCCCUGUCUGCUCUGUUGUGGCCUGAUACCAAAAUAUUUUGUCAGAAUUUUAAGGACAUAAAGGAUACUCCUAAAUUUUAAGCUGAAAGUGUGUUUAUUUUCGUCUAAUGUUAUUAUUUAUUUGAAAUGUAUAUCAGAAUACAAAGUUUUGGAAAACCUGGAAUCAUGUAAAUUUUUUGUUUGAUGUGAAGGAAAAACAUGACCUGAACUCUUGAGAACCCAUUUGAAUUAACAGAUGAACACCAAACAAAGUUUUCUUGAUUUUAAAUUAAUGAUGGCUUAUUCUAAAUAUGAA